This 735-nucleotide ribosomal RNA is filed under the name uncultured Staphylococcus sp. RNAcentral describes it as "bacterial SSU rRNA". It matches the Rfam family "Bacterial small subunit ribosomal RNA", at positions 64 to 781 of the family's 1533-position model. Lineage: Bacteria; Bacillati; Bacillota; Bacilli; Caryophanales; Staphylococcaceae. The record is from RNAcentral.
GAGCGAACGGACGAGAAGCUUGCUUCUCUGAUGUUAGCGGCGGACGGGUGAGUAACACGUGGAUAACCUACCUAUAAGACUGGGAUAACUUCGGGAAACCGGAGCUAAUACCGGAUAAUAUUUUGAACCGCAUGGUUCAAAAGUGAAAGACGGUCUUGCUGUCACUUAUAGAUGGAUCCGCGCUGCAUUAGCUAGUUGGUAAGGUAACGGCUUACCAAGGCAACGAUGCAUAGCCGACCUGAGAGGGUGAUCGGCCACACUGGAACUGAGACACGGUCCAGACUCCUACGGGAGGCAGCAGUAGGGAAUCUUCCGCAAUGGGCGAAAGCCUGACGGAGCAACGCCGCGUGAGUGAUGAAGGUCUUCGGAUCGUAAAACUCUGUUAUUAGGGAAGAACAUAUGUGUAAGUAACUGUGCACAUCUUGACGGUACCUAAUCAGAAAGCCAUGGCUAACUACGUGCCAGCAGCCGCGGUAAUACGUAGGUGGCAAGCGUUAUCCGGAAUUAUUGGGCGUAAAGCGCGCGUAGGCGGUUUUUUAAGUCUGAUGUGAAAGCCCACGGCUCAACCGUGGAGGGUCAUUGGAAACUGGAAAACUUGAGUGCAGAAGAGGAAAGUGGAAUUCCAUGUGUAGCGGUGAAAUGCGCAGAGAUAUGGAGGAACACCAGUGGCGAAGGCGACUUUCUGGUCUGUAACUGACGCUGAUGUGCGAAAGCGUGGGGAUCAAACAGGAUUAG